This 128-nucleotide small RNA is filed under the name Salmonella enterica. RNAcentral's name for it is "partial RtT sRNA". It matches the Rfam family "RtT RNA", at positions 15 to 130 of the family's 130-position model. Rfam says of the family: This family represents a bacterial cis-regulatory element known as RtT RNA. The exact function of RtT is unknown although it is thought that it may be involved in changing the cellular response in relation to amino acid starvation. The record is from RNAcentral. RNAcentral also lists the same sequence under 1 other name. Lineage: Bacteria; Pseudomonadati; Pseudomonadota; Gammaproteobacteria; Enterobacterales; Enterobacteriaceae.
GAGCUGACUGCAAAUCUGCCGUCAUCGACUUCAAGGUUCGACUCGAGCAAUAGUGAGAGAACGUUGCCGCAGGCAACGGCCCGAAGGGUGAGGAGCUUUAGCUCCGAAUAAUCCUUCCCGCUAUAGAA